GACGGAGGGUGCAAACGUUGUUCGGAAUUACUGGGCGUAAAGCGCGUGUAGGCGGCUGCGCAAGUCGGAUGUGAAAUCCCAUGGCUCAACCAUGGAAGUGCACCCGAAACUGCGUAGCUUGAGUCUCGGAGAGGAAGGCGGAAUGCUUGGUGUAGAGGUGAAAUUCGUAGAUAUCAAGCGGAACACCGGUGGCGAAGGCGGCCUUCUGGACGAUGACUGACGCUGAGACGCGAAAGCGUGGGGAGCGAACAGG
This 253-nucleotide ribosomal RNA is filed under the name uncultured bacterium. RNAcentral describes it as "partial 16S ribosomal RNA". It matches the Rfam family "Bacterial small subunit ribosomal RNA", at positions 524 to 776 of the family's 1533-position model. The record is from RNAcentral.